AUUAAAAGGAUCCGCGUGUUUUUUAAGUGAAGUCGAGCAAUCGAACGGACACAAACAAUU
RNAcentral lists this small RNA (60 nucleotides) under Arabidopsis thaliana (thale cress). RNAcentral's name for it is "ATSL160080". The record is from RNAcentral. Lineage: Eukaryota; Viridiplantae; Streptophyta; Magnoliopsida; Brassicales; Brassicaceae.